ACUCCUACGGGAGGCAGCAGUAGGGAAUUUUCGGCAAUGGAGGAAACUCUGACCGAGCAACGCCGCGUGAACGAUGAAGUAUUUCGGUACGUAAAGUUCUUUUAUUAGGGAAGAAUAAAUGAUGGAAAAAUCAUUCUGACGGUACCUAAUGAAUAAGCCCCGGCUAACUAUGUGCCAGCAGCCGCGGUAAUACAUAGGGGGCAAGCGUUAUCCGGAAUUAUUGGGCGUAAAGGGUGCGUAGGCGGUUAAAUAAGUUUAUGGUCUAAGUGCAAUGCUCAACAUUGUGAUGCUAUAAAAACUGUUUAGCUAGAGUAAGAUAGAGGCAAGUGGAAUUCCAUGUGUAGUGGUAAAAUGCGUAAAUAUAUGGAGGAACACCAGUAGCGAAGGCGGCUUGCUGGGUCUUUACUGACGCUGAGGCACGAAAGCGUGGGGAGCAAACAGGAUUAGAUACCCUGGUAGUCCACGCCGUAAACGAUGAGUACUAAACGUUGGGUAAAACCAGUGUUGAAGUUAACACAUUAAGUACUCCGCCUGAGUAGUACGUACGCAAGUAUGAAACUUAAAGGAAUUGACGGGACUCCGCACAAGCGGUGGAUCAUGUUGUUUAAUUCGAAGGUACCCGAAAAACCUCACCAGGUCUUGACAUGCUUCUGCAAAGCUGUAGAAACACAGUGGAGGUUAUCAGUUGCACAGGUGGUGCAUGGUUGUCGUCAGCUCGUGUCGUGAGAUGUUGGGUUAAGUCCCGCAACGAGCGCAACCCUUAUUGUUAGUUACCAGCACGUAAUGGUGGGGACUUUAGCAAGACUGCCAGUGAUAAAUUGGAGGAAGGU
RNAcentral lists this ribosomal RNA (830 nucleotides) under 'Viola tricolor' yellows and little leaf phytoplasma. Its description in RNAcentral is "bacterial SSU rRNA". It matches the Rfam family "Bacterial small subunit ribosomal RNA", at positions 335 to 1174 of the family's 1533-position model. The record is from RNAcentral. Lineage: Bacteria; Bacillati; Mycoplasmatota; Mollicutes; Acholeplasmatales; Acholeplasmataceae.